CACGUAGGGCGCAAGCGUUGUCCGGAAUUAUUGGGCGUAAAGAGCUCGUAGGUGGUUUGCUGCGUCCGCUGUGAAAACCCAAGGCUUAACCUUGGGCUUGCAGUGGAUACGGGCAGACUAGAGGUAGGUAGGGGAGAAUGGAAUUCCCGGUGUAGCGGUGAAAUGCGCAGAUAUCGGGAGGAACACCGGUGGCGAAGGCGGUUCUCUGGGCCUUACCUGACACUGAGGAGCGAAGGCGUGGGGAGCGAACAGG
This 253-nucleotide ribosomal RNA is filed under the name uncultured bacterium. RNAcentral's name for it is "partial 16S ribosomal RNA". It matches the Rfam family "Bacterial small subunit ribosomal RNA", at positions 524 to 776 of the family's 1533-position model. The record is from RNAcentral.